Ooceraea biroi (clonal raider ant) is the source of this 1478-nucleotide RNA transcript. RefSeq lists it as uncharacterized. Lineage: Eukaryota; Metazoa; Arthropoda; Insecta; Hymenoptera; Formicidae. The record is from RefSeq and is a predicted model, not a curated record.
CGUUCUCUUUAAUCCUAACAGAACAUCUCUGCUGGAAAUAAUAGUGUCCCCUCGCGCGUGUCCUCCGUGUCAGCGUGCCCAUUGUCAGUUCCCGAAUUACGGACGCACAGUAGGUGCCAGGAAAGUCCGAUACAUGUUACCCGAUUAGAAACGACACUGCUGGCGUUAAGCGUAAAGCAUGUUCUUGCGGCACGGUAUAAAGAGUAGUGUACAGUAUAAAAAAUUUACAUUGUAAAUAGCAUUGCUCAGAUAUGCUGGCGCGCGGUGCGUUUUGCGCUUUGUGUCCCGCGAUACUUUUCCUGAACGUUAAUGUGGCGGAAUGGGUGGAGAUGCCACAAUUCUCGGACGAAAACAAAAUUUACAGGUAAGCUGGCGCGUCGUAUCACCAGUUUGUCAAGCUUCGGCCGAGUGACACGACUAACGUUUACUCUGCGGAUGAUCAGCGGAACGGCAGCCAAACUUAUCACCGCGUUGCAACUUAUACGAGGAACGAAAAGAGAAAGGAAAUCGAAAAGAUAAAUUAUGCCCCAGUAUCGACGACGCCGUCAACAAGUUUCUUUCGCGACGAGAUUGCCGACGGUUUCGUGGAAAUCGGCAAAAAUCGCACUGCAACGAAUGGCAUCGCAAUCGAGGUAACAGGAUCUAUAUAUUUGAGGCAUGAGUUAUCGCAGUUGCAAAUUUAUGUUAUUCAGGACAAGCUAAAUAAUAGAUCAACAAAAAAUACAAGUGACAUACUCGCAACUCAGUCACCGUCAGCCACGCACGAGCAAGAGACGCUGCAGGACACGUACUACAAUCACACCCUGAAGCAGGACGAUACCAUGUUUCAAUACUUGCCGAUCGACAUACUUAAAAGCGUCCACCGCACUCUGCAAUCGCAGCCGGUGUCGUUCGAAGGAAAGCUACACUUUCUUAAAAUGUUUGAGAAGACGCUGAUGACAGAGAUAGGUAAAGUCCAUUCACGCGCGCUCUUUACAUUAUCGAGAUGAUACUGAGAGCUCUCGCUCCUGUUCAUCGACAGAGUCUCGCCUCGCCAGGACCAUGACGCCCGAUCGGAAAACAAGAGGCGCGGAUUAUUACGGGCACGACGACCACGACCAUUCCGUAGGAUUUCCCUCGAUAGAAGGCGCCCUGAUGGCUAUAUCGUUCCUCACGUUCGCAGUUUAUCUCGUACGACUAGUUAUGCUCCUGUUCCGGAAUAUGAACAACCCGAUGCCUACUACGACCGCUGCUACGGUGUUCCUCGGCAAGAGGAAAAGGUCCGCCGAUCUGAACGACGAUGCCGCUAGAAUACUCAGUAAUAUAAAUAACUUUGAUUCUGACUUUUGAAUACGUUAUCUUCUCACCGCGAUUUCUCUUCUCGCGAUUUUUUUCCACUUUACCCGUAUAUAAAUUACGAUGCGAAAAAAUGGAAUGUACACAUUAACGACACACGACGCACGCGUCAUACCUUAAAGUAGAAAUUAACUAUUGCUAUU